AUAGUCUCUGGGAAGGGAGUGUGACUGUGGGAUAGCAGGUAUAGUAGGGAGAGAUGGUGCCUAUAGUAACAGUGGGGAGAAUAGUCUGCGGGAAGGUUCCAUUGUAGAAAGGGUGAGUUAUAGGGUAUAAGGGAGUGAAAUCCUUGAGUUGUUGAGCUCAUAAAAACCCUCUCCAGUGAGACCACUUACUGUCGCCCCAUUCAGUUUUCUUUCUCAAGCUGUAAGUUGAAGGUGCAGAAGAGUAAGGAGGGAACAGGGCGAGGGGUGAUGUGGAAAAUGGGAAUCCAGAACAGUUACACCUUAGAGGCCACGUACUGUGGUUCAACGCUAGAGGUGGGCGGUGUGGAACCCAUUUCAGCACCAAAGAUCUGGAGUCCGUGGGAUAUCAUUUGUGUGAUACUCUGUUGGAUUUCUGCGACCCCCAUCAAACCAAGAACAUCAUCUUCCUAAAAGAACUGGAGGAAAUCCUGAUACUACAAGUAAAAGCCAGGAGUGGCCAACUAGACCCCGAAUCCCUGCUGGACAAUAUUCUCUCGGAUCUGGAUUCUAGUACUCUGCAUGUUCUGACAGCUCUGACUCUAACGCACCCCCUGCUCACCUCUUGGAAAUGGCUUUAAAGAUGAAGCCCAUGAAGAAGGUUCUGAAGACAAAAAAGGAGAGAAACCUGCACAGGAAUCUUCAGUUGAACACAAAGCAAGAAACCCAGGUGUCCGUUGUGUAUCUGGUCUUCAACCCCCGACGGACAAGUCAUAUCCACCAAGGUGAGAGACAGAUUGAUUUCAUUGCCGCACUCUAUCACAAUCACGUCACAAUCUACUUGUAAGCAGUGACUGUUUAUACUCUCUGCACUGCUGGUUCUGACUCCCAAAUAAUGUAGCAGAAGCCUGGCUGAUGAACAGAGCUGGAGCAUUGACCUGCUGGGUUUUGAUUGAGUUUUGCUGAGCUCUAGAGAUUGUUGCUGAU
This is a long non-coding RNA of Xenopus laevis (African clawed frog), 963 nucleotides long. RefSeq lists it as uncharacterized. The record is from RefSeq and is a predicted model, not a curated record. NCBI's taxonomy places the organism in Eukaryota, Metazoa, Chordata, Amphibia, Anura, Pipidae. The transcript is spliced from 6 exons.